This 301-nucleotide ribosomal RNA is filed under the name uncultured bacterium. RNAcentral's name for it is "partial 16S ribosomal RNA". It matches the Rfam family "Bacterial small subunit ribosomal RNA", at positions 509 to 807 of the family's 1533-position model. The record is from RNAcentral.
CAGUCGCCACGGUAAAACGGAGGGUGCAAGCGUUGUCCGGAAUUAUUGGGCGUAAAGAGCUCGUAGGCGGUUUGUCGCGUCUGCUGUGAAAUCCCGAGGCUCAACCUCGGGCUUGCAGUGGGUACGGGCAGACUAGAGUGCGGUAGGGGAGAUUGGAAUUCCUGGUGUAGCGGUGGAAUGCGCAGAUAUCAGGAGGAACACCGAUGGCGAAGGCAGAUCUCUGGGCCGUAACUGACGCUGAGGAGCGAAAGCGUGGGGAGCGAACAGGAUUAGAUACCCCGGUAGUCCCUGUCUCUUAUAC